UGCAUGAAACAAAGUUAAUUUUUACCUUCCUAUGUUGCUUUACUAUUGAUUCCAAGUAGCUUUUUCUUUCUUCUUUAUAUAGUUUUUAUAAUGAUUUGUAUUUUUUAAAAAGGUUUCUUGGAUAUCAAGCUGAUAUAUAUGGGUGGACCAGCAUGAUUUCUUUGAGGACUAAUUUAGGAGUUGUUGGACCCCCUACCAAAUUUCAGCAAUCAAUACAAUUCUUCUGGUGGCCUCGAUGGUAGAUGACCCACUGUGAGAAAAUCAUGCCAAUUGCUUGAUCUUGCUCAUCUAACCAUGGUACUUCUGCUUAAAACAUGUGAAUUAUACAUCUUUUAAGGCCUUAGCUGCUAGUUUACAAUCCAGUCUAGAGCCUACAGAUUAUAUAUAUCAGGCUACCAAGAUGGAUCUGUACGAGUAUGGGAUGCCACAUAUCCAGUCGUGUCACUUGUAUCUGUAUUUGGAAGGGAGGUUAGAGCCUCAUCAUGGAUAACCCAUAAAAUAUUUAUCUUUGAAACGUACUGAAGGUACCAGGUAUCAAAGUGGCUGGCAUAAGUGCUCUAGUAUUAGUGUUGGACUUCUGUUCAAUCACUAUGAGCUUGGUUAUUGGAAACGAAUGUGGUCUAGUGAGAGAUGUUCUUUCCAUAGCUACUUUCUUCUGAUUUGGCGGCUUAGGUUAUUAUUUAGUGUACAUAGCAAUGUAAUUAUUUGUUGUGACACUAAAAUCACAUUAGUAGAAUGAUACGAACUAUUUAAACAUUGACCAUCUAAAUGUCAUUGGCCAUUUUUUUGCGAGAUUUUCAAUUCUAAAAAGUGGGGCCCACAGUUCUAUUAUACAGACCAUCGGUUUGUUUCUUUCCACUGAGGGUGGAAAAUGGUCCAAUAAUCCAUCAGAUCAUAAGAUCCCAGCCACCUAUAUUAGGACCAAUUUUUGUUCUUAAUAGUCCACUUAGAAAGAAUCAGUGCAAGUUAGGACAUGUUAUUUUCCUCAACUCUGUAAGUUAAACGAGUAACUGUAUUUUGGGAAGUUUGUUGGUUAAACUAAUAUUAAAGCUCAGAAAAAUGAGAUUCCCUUUGUUAUGACUUGCUAAUUUUUCUAGUCGCUAGCCUUGCAGAUUCUUACUGGGAGGAACUAUAUGAUACAUGAUGGCCUGCAUCUUUGCACAGUAGUGGGGCCCAUGGUCUAGUAAUAUAGAUCAUUGGUUUGUUUUAUCCUAUUGUUGAAAUAUUUUAUAACCUACGCCUUGUUGAAGUUCGACUAUUGUCCACAUGCAUGUAUGGAUUUUUUUGGUUAUAUAUGUGAUUAUUAUUAUUAUUAUUUGGAAAAAAAGGUGCCAGAUAGCCAUUUGAACCAGAAAAAAAAUUACAUCUCAAGAAUCAGGUAUUUUCUCAAUUUAUCUCGAAAUGUAUAAUGUCUAAUGAUAUGGUAAUAUUUAUGGGAAUCAUCUCUAU
Long non-coding RNA from Magnolia sinica, 1449 nucleotides. RefSeq lists it as uncharacterized. The record is from RefSeq and is a predicted model, not a curated record. The transcript is spliced from 3 exons. NCBI's taxonomy places the organism in Eukaryota, Viridiplantae, Streptophyta, Magnoliopsida, Magnoliales, Magnoliaceae.